CGGACAUUCAGUAUGUGCCAACAUAGAUAAGAGAAUAGAUGCCUUCAUGCUCACUGAAACGGCUUAUAGUGGGAAAAACAUUCUGCACGUAUUCAUUGGCACUGCUAAGAAUGUCUCCUUUUGCUGUUGGGAUGGUACUCAAAGGUAGCAAGGCUUGUAAAACAACCCGAUAUUCCAAGCACCUCUUUACAGGCAAUGAAAAGUUGGCCCUGAAGUUACUCUCCCAAGUUGUUUGAGAAAUAACUCCCGUUAUAGCACAAAUCGGUAAAACGACAGUGCGUCUUUAAUCCCGCCCCCGGAGGAACAGCAACGCAGCCUUUUCGCCUCUCCUACUUUAAUAUUUUGCGACCCAGCCUGGAAUCCACAGAGCGCAAUCAUCUGACUGACUUUUUUUUUUCUGGUUACUAAAAGGCUUGAAAAUUAUGAAUAGUCCCUUAAAUCGCAGAAGCGGUUUUGGUUGGUUUCUAGCAACGUCUAUUACGGUGAUGUCAGCAGAAAAAAAAUCACAGGGAAAGGCGGACCCGGUCGUUUCCAGGAGUCGGCGCUGCUAAGGGUAAUGUUCAUUUACACAUCUGAGAAAUCAUGAAAUCGGUGUCACUUGCAGCCAUUUUUUGGUGUAUCCUAAUACCAUCAUUUGAGACCAGCAAGACAUUUGAAGACAUACGCUGCAAGUGUGUCUGCCCACCAUAUCGGAAUAUAACAGGACAGAUUUACAAGAACAAUGUAUCACAGAAAGAUUGUAAUUGCCUGCAUGUGGUGGACCCUAUGCCAGUGCCAGGACAUGAUGUUGAGGCAUAUUGCCUGUUGUGUGAGUGCAAAUAUGAAGAACGAAGCACCACGACUAUCAAGAUUAUCAUCAUCAUUUAUCUCUCAGUGAUUGGAGCUCUUCUACUCUACAUGGUCUUUUUAAUGGUAGUUGACCCUUUUAUCCGCAAACCUGAUGCCUAUACACAGCCCCUGCACAAUGAAGAAGAGUCAGAGGUUCCCUGUUCCUUGACAGCUAUACAUCCUUCAGCGAAUGCUAGAACAAAUACAGUGCUGGAGAGAGUGGAAGGAGCCCAGGAAAGGUGGAAGCGUCAGGUGCAGGAACAGCGGAAGACUGUGUUUGAUCGGCACAAGAUGCUAAGCUAGACCUUUUAUUUUAGGUGUGAGCUGCAGCUGCUGGUUAGCUAGGCAAAAUUUUGUUCGCCAGUACAGACCCCAAAUCUGUAGUUUAAAUAUCUUGCACCUACUGUUUCUGAUUGGAUUUGCUUGUUGUCUUCCUCUUCAGUCCACCCAAGAGAAUAUGCUGCAUUUGAAGCAAGCUGCUGGCUGCACGUGCCAUCUAUGAUUCUAUGAGGACUGCCACUUGCUUUAAAUAACUCUAGGAUAACUAUUUGACUUCAAAAGUGAGAAACAGUUGCAACUUUGGGUUCUAUAAUCUGCCAAGCAUUGGUCUGGUUUGGUGAUUAAAAAAAGGCAUGCAUUUAUUUGUUACUGCUUACUAACCUAUGGCUUGGCUUUUAGUUUGAGUUGGAUGUUUUAUUAAUAGAAUGAGAAUAGCAACAUCCUUUUCAUUCCAUUGACUGUAUGCCGAUAUAUGAUCCUUCACUGUUGCAAAAUAGAGCAACAAAAUAGAGCAAAAGUGGCUUGGGUCUUAUGUAUAACAUGCUAGUUUGAAAAGUUGGCACUAAAGAUAGAAAUGAAAUAAGGGAAAUUAACUUGCCAUAAAGGAGUUACUGUAUUUGGCUCAUAAAUUCGUACAGAUUCUUCCUUCAAGGAUUUUUGGGGGGAUAGUUAACUUUACACCAAAGAAAUAUGGACAGAUUUUUUUUUUAGCACUAUCAUAGUUAAUGCAUUUAACCCAUCAAAAGAAUGACUCUGGAUGAGCUCCGUGCUUCCCAAUCUCCUUAAGGGACCAAAACCAAAAGGCUUGUGAGUGUCUCUUCUACAUGCAGAUUUUUAAACAGUCAAGUGGUUAUACAGAAUACAGAUUCUUGUACUUUUUGCUGGAUUCACUGGAUUAUUUAGUGCAAAGGAAAUUGCCCUUCUACAUGUGGCAGUCUAUCCCAUUAUGCAAAACUGAAUUCCACUAUCAAAGGACAUUUAGAGAAAUAUAGCCCUACAUUUUAUUAUUAUCCCAAAAAGUGCCAUGCAACAUGCAUCUUUUAAAAUAAAAUUUAAGUUGGCUUAAUAGAAAAUUUCCUGCGUGAUACUGGAUAUUCCCCUUGGCCAACAUGACUACAAUUACUUAUUUUAUUCUAAUUUUACAAUACAUCUUGCCCAGAUGUAGGGACCUAUAGCAAUUAGGUCUAGGUCAACAAUUAAGGGAAAGUAGCAUUAACAGUAUGUAAUUGUGAAAUGUAAUGUUCUAAUGAUCUCUCAGUACCUACUAUCAAAAGAUCUUGAAGGGUGGACAGUAUUUUUUCAGCAUACUUAAAUAUUCCAGUAUUAAGCAAACUACUUUAUCUCUCUUGAAGUAUCUCUUGAAGAUUGUAUCAGUCUUUCUUGCUAUGCAGCAUCUUUUCAUUAAACCCAGAAUGUUAGUAUAACCUAGAUGUCAGGCAUAAUUCAAUACUUUUUGUUCAGAAGGAGAUAUCAUGCAAAGGUUUGGAGAAUAUAUAGAAAUGGGGGGGGAUCAUAAAAUACAUGUUAGGCAUAUCAUAUCUGGACUGUAAAAAUCCAAAUGAUCAUUUAUGGGCAGAUGACCACUUAUGGGUAUCCAUAUGGUCCAGCCAUGUCUAAAAUACAGUAUGCACAUUGUAUCAUCAGCUGGUUACUAAGUAUGCAUCUGCAAAAAAUGUUAUGCAUUAUUUACAUGGAAGUAUCUGUUAAGUAUCUGCUUUUAUGUACUGAAAAUAUUUACAAGCUAUAUUUUAAAAUUCAAAUAUUCAGUGAUGUACAAAAAAGAAGUAAUAGAAAAAAACUUUCUAAGAUGUCAACAA
Non-coding RNA from Pseudonaja textilis, 2924 nucleotides. The record is from RefSeq and is a predicted model, not a curated record. Lineage: Eukaryota; Metazoa; Chordata; Lepidosauria; Squamata; Elapidae.